RNAcentral lists this ribosomal RNA (465 nucleotides) under Vreelandella stevensii. Its description in RNAcentral is "partial 16S ribosomal RNA". It matches the Rfam family "Bacterial small subunit ribosomal RNA", at positions 338 to 795 of the family's 1533-position model. The record is from RNAcentral. Lineage: Bacteria; Pseudomonadati; Pseudomonadota; Gammaproteobacteria; Oceanospirillales; Halomonadaceae.
CCUACGGGUGGCAGCAGUGGGGAAUAUUGGACAAUGGGCGAAAGCCUGAUCCAGCCAUGCCGCGUGUGUGAAGAAGGCCUUCGGGUUGUAAAGCACUUUCAGUGGGGAAGAAAGCCUUGGGGCUAAUACCCUCGAGGAAGGACAUCACCCACAGAAGAAGCACCGGCUAACUCCGUGCCAGCAGCCGCGGUAAUACGGAGGGUGCGAGCGUUAAUCGGAAUUACUGGGCGUAAAGCGCGCGUAGGCGGUCUGAUAAGCCGGUUGUGAAAGCCCCGGGCUCAACCUGGGAACGGCAUCCGGAACUGUCAGGCUAGAGUGCAGGAGAGGAAGGUAGAAUUCCCGGUGUAGCGGUGAAAUGCGUAGAGAUCGGGAGGAAUACCAGUGGCGAAGGCGGCCUUCUGGACUGACACUGAUGCUGAGGUGCGAAAGCGUGGGUAGCAAACAGGAUUAGAUACCCGGGUAGUC